Molecule: non-coding RNA, 3167 nt
Organism: Kogia breviceps (pygmy sperm whale)
Lineage: Eukaryota; Metazoa; Chordata; Mammalia; Artiodactyla; Physeteridae
Source: RefSeq, a predicted model, not a curated record
CUUAGUUAUGGCACACGGGAUCUUUAGUUGCUGUGUGUGGGAUCUUUAGUUGCGGUGUGGGGACUUCUUAGUCGUGGCACGCAUGCGGGAUCUAGUUUCCCAACCAGGGAUCGAACCCAGGCCCUAUGCAUUGGGAGUGCGGAGUCUUACCCACUGGACCACCAGGGAAGCCCCGGGAUGCUUGCUUUAAUUACAGAUUGCCAAGCCCUACCCCCAGGGAUUCUGGACCAGUCUCAGUUGGAGCCCAGAAGUCUCCAUUUUAGCAAGCACUCCAGGUAUUCCUGUAGCAGGUGGUCUAGGACCACAACUGGAGAAGCACUGACCUAAAGGGGACCCAUCAAGCUUUGUACUUCUUAAUGACAAUGUCAAGCACCAGUAAUGACCUGAAGAUGCCAUUGGAUCUCAUAUCCAAACAAUUCUAAUUUGGGAUUUCUUGGUGUAUCAAGGGCCCAUGACAUUCAGAAAACAUUUUUCUGAGAACCCAUCAUGUGAAGAGCAUUGAACAGCAUUAAGAAUAGUCACGCGCACAGAUAACUUCAAAACCAGGCUGACUUCAAUAGAAUCAUCAAGUGCUUGGGCUCGGAAACCUGCAGAUGAGGAGUCCUUCUAAAUGCUGGGAUUUAAGAAAAGCACUUUGGGAGUGGCGCCAUCUGAGGUGUAGCUGGAAGGAAGGGAGAGUCAAGCUUCUUGGGAGUAUGGCACAGAUGUAUACAACUUUUCACAAAGGAGCCUACCACUUUUUUCUAGAUGUGUAAAAUGGGGGAAAAAAUCAUAUGAUCUUCCUCAUAGGACUUCUGUGUGAAUUAAAUGAGAUCCCCAUGCUCUGAAAAUUUAAAAUGGGCAAAGAUUUCCUGCAGACCUGUACAGUCCUGGAGUAAGGGUAUACCCAUGACAGAAGAGAUUGUUUUAGAUAUAUAACCACUGGGGAAUGCUACACACCCACACAAAGCUGCCAGGUACUGCCUUUCACAUUUAAAAGCUGUGAUUUACUGACAGAUGUAUAAAAUCUGAUAUAUUUAGUCAGCUCCUGUCGACUACAUGUGUACUGAAACACAAAUUACAUAGAAGUGCAAAUUAUUCCAGCUGAGAUCAGCAUUAAUUGAAACUUAGAAUAACAAUCCCCUUAAAACUUUCUUGAAAAUCUUGUUGCCACAUGAACUCCAGUGGUUUUUGUUUUGUGGUGUUUUGUGUGUGUGUGUGUGUGUGUGUGUGUGUGUGUGUGUGUGUGUAGUGUAGCCUGUUGAGCUAUCUGUCCUUCCCUCAUGCAAGAAAUUUUUCAUAAGGAGACAGGAAGCUAAGGAAAGGAGCUACAUUAUAGAACACACAGGUUACACUGAUGUUAAGAGCCAGUAUCCUCUCCAGUGGGUCUGCAGUCUGCAGGCAUGUCCUCAGCUACACUCAACAGCCAGCAUCUCCAUUCUAGGAGGGAUGACACAGGUCAAUUAACCAUCUUGUUUGUAUUUAGAGCUAGGAAGCAACCUUAAAGUUCAAUAUUUGGGGUCUUCGAUUAUAUACUACGUGAGAAAUUUAGCUAAAACGCCGAUUUUUCCAAGUUGCCACCAUGCUGUGUGUAUGGCUGAGACUUUUCCCCCCCAGAUAUAUGCAAGGAACCUGGAUACUGCAGUUCCUUUAUUAUAUAUCCAUGACAUGUAUUGUUUUAUUUACAAGAUUUACUUUGUAUUUUAGCACAUAUAUGUAAUUAAAAAUAUAUGCAUAGAUAGAGCCAGCUAGUCCAGAUAUGGCAAAGUUAUACUAUAUAGAUGAUACUUCCAGUAAAAAGAUCUUAUUUCUUCUUGACAGCCUGAGCCUAUUAGCUGUCUGAAAUCCCUGGGUAUAAAGUGAUUCUUAUAGGACACUUUUCCUUGGAGUUUAAAAUAUAAGACAACACUAUGUCUCUCUAUCCUAUUACAAAAGCGGCCUUAUAUUCACAACUAACAGAAAUCAGAAAAUGCCAGAAGUUAAUGUACUGGAAAAGGCUGUUAACCCUCUUUGGUUUUAUAAACAAAUAUGGUAUGUGACUCUUUGUAUGAACAUGUAGCUCCCAAAUGAAUAUGUAGGUAGAAAAUAUAUAGGUCCUAUGAAUAUGUAGGUAGAAAAGAGUUAAGAGCAAAACCUACUUGACCAUCCUGUCAGGCUAGAAAGUAGACAGUUGGAGUUUCCUCAGGGAAUUCUUUAGAAGGAUAAAGUAAGGAGCGCCACCAAUAUAGCAUAUUUUUCCUUGCAGAACGGACCAUCCACCUGCGGAUCUUGGAGCAGAAAACCAAUCUACUUUUUCCUCUAAAACUGAAGCAGUUCUUGAGGGAAGGAAACAACCCCGUACGUCAUGCAGAGAAAAGAUCAUGGGCAAAGUCAUAGAGACCUGGAGAAGAAUUAACAUGUCAAGUUCAGGAGAAAAUGAGAACAGCCUUCCCGGAAGAAGCAAGCUGCUCAGACCAGAGACAGUGAAAGGAGGCAAAGGGCCUUAAAAACCUUGAAAAGGAGUUUCUAUGAGAGAAGGCCUGGACUGUGGAAACACACUCCUGGAAAUCCUGCGCCUGCAGCAGAAGGAAACCCUUGGUAAAUCACUCAACAUGAAGCUACAUGGUCAUUUUGGCACAGAAGAAGCAGACAGCGAUGAGCUUUCUCUCCCAGAUUGCAGCUCUGCCUCAGGAUGAAAUUGUUCUGAUCAACAUUUCCCCAUCUGGCAGGCAGGCGGCCAAAAGAUUGGAGACCUGAAAAUGGGUCACUGCGUUUUGACUCCCUGCAGCAGCCCAUACAUGGCGAUGGCUUACUGAGUGAGCACAAGGCCACAUUCUGAAACCAUUACAUGCCAUCUCACAGGGAGAGAUCCUGAGGACUGCAGAAGCCCUUCUUAGGAUACUGAGAUCGGGAUCUCAAAAGGCAUUGCGAGGAAGACAGCAGAUAACACUUCAAUUUUAUAAAGGUGGCAGGAUUCCACCAUCGCAUUAUGAAAGGAUUUUCCUAAGGAAGCCUGGGUGCAGAAAAUUUCAAAGAAACUCCUUUUUUUACAGCGAACAGUAAGGAAAAAAAAAAGCCAAAGGGAAAGAAGAAUAACUACAAAAGCCAGUGGUCCAUAUAUUUCAUAAGGAUCUAGAUACAUUUUUAAUGGAAUACUGGAUUAUCUGCAACAUCAGAAAAAGUAAAGAUAAUUUAAGGAAAAAUAUAAG